This 406-nucleotide ribosomal RNA is filed under the name uncultured bacterium. RNAcentral describes it as "bacterial SSU rRNA". It matches the Rfam family "Bacterial small subunit ribosomal RNA", at positions 352 to 775 of the family's 1533-position model. The record is from RNAcentral.
CAGUAGGGAAUAUUGGUAAUGUGCGAAAGCGCGAACCAGCAACGCCGCGUGCGCGAUGAAGGCCUUCGGGUUGUAAAGCGCUUUUUAUGGGGAUGAGGAAGGACAGUACUCAUAGAAUAAGCCUCGGCUAACUACGUGCCAGCAGCCGCGGUAAAACGUAGGAGGCGAGCGUUAUCCGGAUUUACUGGGCGUAAAGCGUGUGUAGGCGGUUUGAUAAGUUGGAUGUGAAAGCUCCUGGCUUAACUGGGAGAGGUCGUUCAAAACUAUCAGACUUGAGAGUGGUAGAGGGAGGUGGAAUUCCGGGUGUAGUGGUGAAAUGCGUAGAUAUCCGGAGGAACACCAGUGGCGAAAGCGGCCUCCUGGCCCAUUUCUGACGCUCAGACACGAAAGCUAAGGUAGCAAACGG